This 426-nucleotide ribosomal RNA is filed under the name Triticum aestivum (bread wheat). RNAcentral describes it as "partial small subunit ribosomal RNA". Lineage: Eukaryota; Viridiplantae; Streptophyta; Magnoliopsida; Poales; Poaceae. The record is from RNAcentral.
AUGGAGUUGAUGGCCACCUCAUACUUUAAGGAGGUGUUUACGAAGGACCCAACUCUGUCUCCGGAAACGGUUCUUGAAAGGAUAGUACCAAAAGUGACAAAUGAGAUGCACACAACCUUGUGUAGACCAUUAACGGAGGAAGAGGUGUCCGAUGCGCUGUUCCAAAUAGGACCGCUAAAAGCAACAGGCACGGAUGGGUUCCCUGCGCGGUUCUAUCAGCGGAAUUGGGCUGUUAUGAAAGGUGAGAUUACAGCGGCAGUUAUGGAGUUCUUUACCACAGGAGUCAUGCCGGAGGGGGUGAACGAUACGGCUAUUGUUCUAAUCCCGAAGGUUCCGGUCCCUAAGGAGCUCAAGGAUUUUCGUCCAAUAAGUUUGUGUAACGUGAUCUACAAGAUUGUGUCUAAGUGUUUGGUUAACAGAUUAUGA